RNAcentral lists this ribosomal RNA (1736 nucleotides) under metagenome. RNAcentral describes it as "bacterial SSU rRNA". It matches the Rfam family "Eukaryotic small subunit ribosomal RNA". The record is from RNAcentral.
CCUGGUUGAUCCUGCCAGUAGUGAUAUGCUUGUCUCAAGGAUUAAGCCAUGCAGGCUGAAAGUCAAGUUUGAAACUGUGAAUGGCUCAUUAAACCAGCUCUUGCUUCUUUGAGGGUUGCUGUGGAUAUCUGUUGGGAACUGCAGCUAAUACGGUUCUGAAUGUCCUUUGGACAGAGGUGUGCGAAAUAAGCGAGUUUAUUGGCACUUCGACGACUGUGAUGCUUGUUUGCGCUUGUGUCCCGGCGUUUGAAGGAGGGGUCUGACCUAUCAGCUUUCGUUGGUGUUGUAUUGGAGCACCGAGGCGGUGACGGGUGCCGGGGGAUUGGGGUUUGGUUCCGGAGAGGGAGCCUGAGAGAUGGCUACCACGCCCAAGGGUGGCAGCAGGCGCGCAAAUUACCCAAUUGUUUGUUCGACAGAGGUAGCGACGGGAAAUAGCAGCGCGACUUCAAGUCGUAGACUGCAAUGGACAGAUUUUAGAAGUUUCUGUGAUGAGCUAUUGAAGGGCAAGUCUGGUGCCAGCAGCCGCGGUAAUUCCAGCUUCAAGAGCGUAUAUUACUGCUGUUGCAGUUAAAAUGUUCGUAGUCUCGGUUUCCAGUUUGGUGUGCGUAGUGUGCCUUUGUACACGACGUCACACCCAGGUUUGUUGGUUGAGGUGGGCGAUUGCCCUAACGGGAUAAUUUCUCACCUUUUUCCUUGAUAAGACUUCGAGUAAAUGGGGGGGCUCCAGCCAGGCAUUGCUACAAGCAUGCACGGCCCAUUUAGCGUGGCACUUUCGGAGUGGGGGCGAGAGGGGGACCAGAUCUUGCUCUUGCCCACCGCUUGCCGCACAGGAUUGGACGGGGACAUCCGUAUUGAACAGCAAGAGGUGAAAUUCUGGGAUUUGUUCAAGACGAGCAAAGGCGAAGGCAUUUGUCCGCGACUUUUCCUUUGAUAAAGAGCGAAGGUUGGGGGAUUCAAGAUGAUCAGAUACCGUCGUAGUCCCAACGGUAAACUAUGCCAGCACUGUGUCUCGGCACUCCCAAUUCUGGGGAGUGUCGGGGCUUGUGGAGAAAUCGUUAGCGAUCGGGUUCUGGGGGAAGUAUGGUCGCAAGAUCGAAACUUAAAGGAAUUGACGGAAGGGCACCACCAGGAGUGGAGCUUGCGGCUUAAUUUGACCCAACGCGGGGAAACUUACCAGCGCCAGACAACGCUGUGAUUGACAAGCGGGAGGCUUUUCUUGAUUCGUUGGGUGGUGGUGCAUGGCCGUUCCGAGUUGGUGGAUUGAUUUGUCAGGUUGAUUCCGACAACGAACGAGAUCCAAGCUUUCUAGUUCGGGGUAGUCUCAUUGUGUGACUACUUUCUGGUUAGAAGGACGGUGUUCGUUUACAACAAUGAGGGGUUGGGCGAUAACAGGUCUGUGAUGCCCUUCGAUACGCUGGGCCGCACGCGUGCUACAUUGCACAUUUGAGAGGGGUUGGGGCCUCGUAUCCGAGGCCUUUUCCCGAAUAACGGUCGAUAAUGCUAAGUUAGGUCAGAUCUUUGCAAUUUUGGAUCUUUAAUGAGGAAUUCCUCGUAGGCGUCAGCCGAUCAUCUGACGUCGAUUACGUCCCUGCCCUUUGUACACACCGCCCGUCGCUCCUACCGAUUGGGUUGUCCGGCAAAUGCGAAUGACGGACUGGCUUUGAUUCUUGUCACGGUUUGGUUCGGAUUUUGUGUAAGCCAUACUUCCUAGAGGAAGGAGAAGUCGUAACAAGGUU